GCCGCUCCCCUUGAGCGAGUGGGUAACACAUCUCCUCCCUCUGGCUCCCAGAAACCCGAAGGGAGACUUAUCAAGGAGUCUCUGAGCGGGAAAGCAAUCCUCUCCAGAGGAGGCAAGUACCAGAAAGGAUGCCAUUUGGAUGCUGGGGUGCAAAGGUUGGAGACCCCCAUGUGGGUGGGCUGAUGAGUCAGAAAAGAGCCUGACCCUGGAGAUCUCAGAAGGGAAAGGGUUUCAGGAAAGGGAGGGAGAAUGGAGUCACACCUAUGCUUGGCAUGCACUCCUGGAAUGUGGAGGCAGGGGGAUUAACAGAGGUUAGAAAGCCCCAUACUGAGAGUCCCCUUGGUUUGCACUGAAGAGCGUGCAAUCUGUGAUAGCUGGAUGGGGGGAGGGAGGAGGGAGGGAGGGAGGGAGGGACGGGGGGGGGAGAGAAAGAGAGAGAGAGAGAGAGAGAGAGAGAGAGAGAGAGAGAGAGAGAGAGAGAGAGAGAGAGAGAGAGAGAGAGACUGGUCCCAAGACAACGUGCUGGAGAGAGGGGAUUCUCGGAGUCAGAACACUGUGUGGUUUGGGCCAUCUGAGGUGCUGCACAGAGGCAACAUAAAUGGAAGGAGGAACAGGGUGUGACGCUUCGGUCGCCACAGUUGGUGAUGAGUGUUUCUGGGGUCUCAGUUGCUAGAUUCUGAAACAGGGCAGCUACUGAGGGUGACCGAGUGACUCAUGUGGGGUGAUGGACAGGAGCGGAUCUGGGCUUUGCUUUUGACCCUCUGCUCUCUUGCGAGGGCUUCUCAGCCUUCUUGUUCCCAGCUGCUGAAGAUCUGGAUGACACCUGGUUUGCUCAAAAGAGACCCUUGGGAUUUUGCUCACUUGCUGUCUGGCGGGAUCAAAUCCCUUUGACAUUCGUUUCUCUAGCUGUAUUCUCCCAAAGAUGUUUUAAUUCUUUAACAGACCAAACUUAUAAAUGGU
Molecule: long non-coding RNA, 960 nt
Filed under: Mus musculus (house mouse)
Lineage: Eukaryota; Metazoa; Chordata; Mammalia; Rodentia; Muridae
Description: long non-coding RNA chr2:19910312-19911272
Source: RNAcentral